Molecule: ribosomal RNA, 253 nt
Filed under: uncultured bacterium
Lineage: Bacteria
Description: partial 16S ribosomal RNA
Rfam family: Bacterial small subunit ribosomal RNA
Source: RNAcentral
UACGUAGGGUGCGAGCGUUAAUCGGAAUUACUGGGCGUAAAGGGUGCGCAGGCGGUUAAUUAAGUCAGCUGUGAAAUCCCCGGGCUUAACCUGGGAAUGGCAGUUGAGACUGGUUAGCUAGAGUGUGUCAGAGGGGGGUAGAAUUCCACGUGUAGCAGUGAAAUGCGUAGAGAUGUGGAGGAAUACCGAUGGCGAAGGCAGCCCCCUGGGAUAACACUGACGCUCAAGCACGAAAGCGUGGGGAGCAAACAGG